GGCAGUGUGUCUCAGUAGAAAGAGCCUGGGCUUGGGAGUCAGUGAUCAUGGGUUCGAAUCCCAACUCUGCCA
This 72-nucleotide transfer RNA is filed under the name Ornithorhynchus anatinus (platypus). It matches the Rfam family "tRNA". Rfam says of the family: Transfer RNA (tRNA) molecules are approximately 80 nucleotides in length. Their secondary structure includes four short double-helical elements and three loops (D, anti-codon, and T loops). The record is from Rfam by way of RNAcentral. Lineage: Eukaryota; Metazoa; Chordata; Mammalia; Monotremata; Ornithorhynchidae.